Molecule: ribosomal RNA, 766 nt
Filed under: uncultured bacterium
Lineage: Bacteria
Description: SSU rRNA
Rfam family: Bacterial small subunit ribosomal RNA
Source: RNAcentral
GCCCUUUCGGGGGUACACGAGCGGCGAACGGGUGAGUAACACGUGGGUGAUCUGCCCUGUACUUCGGGAUAAGCCUGGGAAACUGGGUCUAAUACCGGAUAUGACCACCGGUCGCAUGGUUGGUGGUGGAAAGAUUUAUCGGUGCAGGAUGGGCCCGCGGCCUAUCAGCUUGUUGGUGGGGUAAUGGCCUACCAAGGCGACGACGGGUAGCCGGCCUGAGAGGGCGACCGGCCACACUGGGACUGAGACACGGCCCAGACUCCUACGGGAGGCAGCAGUGGGGAAUAUUGCACAAUGGGCGAAAGCCUGAUGCAGCGACGCCGCGUGAGGGAUGACGGCCUUCGGGUUGUAAACCUCUUUCAGUAGGGACGAAGCGUAAGUGACGGUACCUGCAGAAGAAGCACCGGCCAACUACGUGCCAGCAGCCGCGGUAAUACGUAGGGUGCAAGCGUUGUCCGGAAUUACUGGGCGUAAAGAGCUCGUAGGCGGUUUGUCGCGUCGUCUGUGAAAACCAGCAGCUCAACUGUUGGCUUGCAGGCGAUACGGGCAGACUUGAGUAUUUCAGGGGAGACUGGAAUUCCUGGUGUAGCGGUGAAAUGCGCAGAUAUCAGGAGGAACACCGGUGGCGAAGGCGGGUCUCUGGGAAAUAACUGACGCUGAGGAGCGAAAGCGUGGGUAGCGAACAGGAUUAGAUACCCUGGUAGUCCACGCCGUAAACGGUGGGCGCUAGGUGUGGGUUUCCUUCCACGGGAUCCGUGCCGUAGCU